RNAcentral lists this ribosomal RNA (521 nucleotides) under Sticta caperata. RNAcentral's name for it is "partial large subunit ribosomal RNA". It matches the Rfam family "Eukaryotic large subunit ribosomal RNA", at positions 83 to 606 of the family's 3401-position model. Lineage: Eukaryota; Fungi; Ascomycota; Lecanoromycetes; Peltigerales; Lobariaceae. The record is from RNAcentral.
GUAACGGCGAGUGAAGCGGCAACAGCUCAAAUUUGAAAUCUGGCCUCUUCGGGGUCCGAGUUGUAAUUUGUAGAGGGUGUUUCGGGCGCGAUGCCGGUCUAAGUUCUUUGGAACAGGACGUCGUAGAGGGUGAGAAUCCCGUAUGCGACCGGCGAUCAAGCCUGUGUGAAGCCCCUUCGACGAGUCGAGUUGUUUGGGAAUGCAGCUCAAAAUGGGUGGUAAAUUUCAUCUAAAGCUAAAUAUUGGCCAGAGACCGAUAGCGGACAAGUAGAGUGAUCGAAAGAUGAAAAGCACUUUGGAAAGAGAGUCAAACAGUACGUGAAAUUGUUGAAAGGGAAGCGCUUGCAAUCAGACCGGUCCGGAGGCGAUCAGCCGCUGCUCGUCAGCGGUGCACUCGCCUGCGAUCCGGCCAGCAUCGGUUUGGGCGGCGGGAGAAAAGGCCGGGGAAUGUAGCUUCUUUCGGGGAGUCUUAUAGCCCGGGUCGCAAUGCCGCCCGCCUGGACCGAGGACCGCGCUUCGGC